UGUUGAAAUUUCAUCUAUUUUUACUGUUAAAAAUUGACGUGGUUGAUAGAAUAACUAUAUAGUUAUACAUGAUGUACCAUGAGUACCUCAUUUUGACAUAUAGAGACCAAAUUUUAACAAUAGAAAAUAAUUUUUAACA
Molecule: non-coding RNA, 139 nt
Organism: Gossypium raimondii (Peruvian cotton)
Lineage: Eukaryota; Viridiplantae; Streptophyta; Magnoliopsida; Malvales; Malvaceae
Source: Rfam